This is a long non-coding RNA of Mus musculus (house mouse), 434 nucleotides long. RefSeq annotates it as predicted gene, 52915. The record is from RefSeq and is a predicted model, not a curated record. NCBI's taxonomy places the organism in Eukaryota, Metazoa, Chordata, Mammalia, Rodentia, Muridae. The transcript has 3 exons.
GAGCAACACAGAUGCAGUUCAGGCUGCCAAACGAUGGCCCAGGAAUCCCGCACAUCCAUUUCCUUAAGAAAACAUGGUCUCCUUUCUCCUCUGUGGUUUCUGGUGGAUUUUUACUCACCCUUGAAGAUUUGGAGCUAGCGACAACGGAUAAGAGAUGAGUGAAGUCUGUCUUUCAGAAUCAUAAUGUGUGCAUUCUUCCAGUCCACCAUGAUGUCUGUGAAGAUGUGGAGUGUGUUCUCAAACUCUAAAGAGCAGGCAUCUCUAAAAAGUGACUAAAUAUUUGUGGAAGCAUCUGAAAUAUGGAUAAAGGAUAACAUUUAUUCAUCAACAUUCCCUGUCAGUUGGCAGAAAAAUGGUUCCUGACUGUCACAGAACUAUGUCUGUGUGCCUCACCUACAAAAAACCCACGCAGGUGUAAGUAAGCCUGGGGAUUU